UCGAGCUGCAGGGACAUGCAGAGGGAAAGGGGGCCAGGCAGUGAGCGGUGGUCCUGGCCAGGGGUGGUCACAGGGACAUUUGGCUGGGGAGUCACUAUAGGUUCCAUCUGCCAUAGUUUUCCUAAAUGCCAGAGCCCAAAAAGCGCAACCCCUGACUUACUCCAUAGCUGCAAUGCGUGAGGAUGUGAUGGGCAUGGGCAGGGUCUAUCCUAGUCUCUGUGCCUCAGUUUCCCCAAGGGCCAGGUGGUUCAGGGCCAGUGUAUCUCCUGAGAUGACAAGCUGUCAACCUGCUGCAGCCUUGGCCAGCCCCGUGGGCACAGUCUCACCCUCGCUUCCCAUGCCUGGGACUUUGUGCUGGGCCCAUCCCAGUGGUCCCGAGGUGGAGGGUUCUGGGCCCUUGGGUCACUGCCCUUUUGGGGAGGGUGUCGGGGCAGGGGCUCUUGACUUCCUGCUCCACUUCGGCUUUGGGCUGGGGGUACUGUGUGCACUGAUGGAGGGAAGGGGAGCCGCAGCAGAGCUGGAAAUGACCUGCGUGGAUGUCGCAAUUCUUCAUGGAGCCUCCCGUGCACACCUGGAUGGGGACAGUGUGGGGACAGAGUGGCUGGGAGUGGAGGAACCAGGCAGUCUGGAACAUGAGGAGUGGGGGCAGCCGGCCAGGACAGGGCUGGCUGUCCUGGCCGUGGCUCCAGCCUGACCACUCCCUGCUGGUCCUCGGCCAUGGAGAUCCCACCUACCGCCUCAUGUCUGGGUCCUCUCCGCCCCCCCGCAGCUUCCGCAACUUUGACGUGGAGGAGUCCCACCAGUGCUCCCUGGACUGGCUCCUGCUGGGCCCAGCAGCCCCACCCCGCCAGGAGGCCUUCCGCCUCUGUGGCUCCGCCAUCCCACCUGCCUUCAUCUCUGCCCGCGACCAUGUCUGGAUUUUCUUCCACUCAGACGCCUCCAGCUCCGGCCAGGCCCAGGGCUUCCGUCUGUCUUACAUCCGAGGUGAUGGAGGCUGCAGGGCAGGCAGGACACCACGGAGCACACCGUGCAUGCCCACAGGCUCCCGGCCCACAGGGGCGGCACCCUCCACAGGGCCCUGGCUCCCUGUGGGAUGUCCCCUGACUGCCCUGUCAAUCUCAGGGCAGUGGCAGGACUGGGCAUGCGGAUGCCUUGGGCCUCUCAAGGUCACUGGCCCCACUUCCCAGUCUUGGCUAGUCCUGGGAACUCACCCCUAACCCCAGGCUCAGGUCAGGGACAGAGCCCACCCUGGUGUUGGAGGGGUCUCUGCUGCCACAGUGAUGGGGAACCACCUGCCCGCUUUUGGCCCCAGGCCCCCUGGCCGAAGGGAGGCUCUUCUGUCUCCUGACUGUCCCCUGCUACGUCUCCACCCCACAGGGAAGCUGGGCCAGGCAUCCUGCCAGGCAGAUGAGUUCCACUGUGACAACGGCAAGUGCCUGCCCGGCCCGUGGCAGUGCAACACGGUGGACGAGUGUGGAGACGGCUCUGAUGAGGGCAACUGCUCGGCGCCCGCCUCUGAGCCUCCCGGCAGCCUGUGCCCCGGGGGGACCUUCCCAUGCAGCGGGGCGCGCUCCACGCGCUGCCUGCCUGUGGAGCGGCGCUGUGACGGCUUGCAGGACUGCGGCGACGGCUCCGAUGAGGCGGGCUGCCCCGACCUGGCGUGCGGCCGGCGGCUGGGCAGCUUCUACGGCUCCUUUGCCUCCCCAGACCUGUUCGGCGCCGCUCGCGGGCCCUCAGACCUUCACUGCACGUGGCUGGUGGACACACAGGACUCCCGGCGGGUGCUGCUGCAGCUGGAACUGCGGCUGGGCUACGACGACUACGUGCAGGUAUACGAGGGCCUGGGCGAGCGCGGGGACCGCCUGCUGCAGACGCUGUCCUACCGCAGCAACCACCGGCCCGUGAGCCUGGAGGCCGCCCAGGGCCGCCUCACUGUGGCCUACCACGCGCGCGCCCGCAGCGCCGGCCACGGCUUCAAUGCCACCUACCAGGUGAAGGGCUAUUGCCUCCCCUGGGAGCAGCCGUGCGGGAGCAGUAGUGACAGUGACGGGGGCAGCCCGGGCGACCAGGGCUGCUUCUCGGAGCCACAGCGCUGUGAUGGCUGGUGGCAUUGUGCCAGCGGCCGAGACGAGCAGGGCUGCCCUGCCUGCCCGCCCGACCAGUACCCCUGCGAGGGUGGCAGUGGUCUGUGCUACACGCCUGCCGACCGCUGCAACAACCAGAAAAGCUGUCCCGACGGCGCCGAUGAGAAGAACUGCUUCUCCUGCCAGCCCGGCACCUUCCACUGCGGUACCAACCUGUGCAUCUUCGAGACGUGGCGCUGUGAUGGCCAGGAAGACUGCCAGGACGGCAGCGAUGAGCAUGGGUGCCUGGCCGCCGUGCCCCGCAAGGUCAUCACGGCGGCGCUCAUCGGCAGCCUGGUGUGCGGCCUGCUGCUGGUCAUCGCGCUGGGCUGCGCCUUCAAGCUCUACUCACUGCGCACGCAGGAGUACAGGGCCUUCGAGACCCAGAUGACGCGCCUGGAGGCUGAGUUCGUGCGGCGGGAGGCACCCCCAUCCUAUGGUCAGCUCAUCGCCCAGGGCCUCAUUCCACCCGUGGAGGACUUUCCUGUCUACAGUGCGUCCCAGGCCUCUGUGCUGCAGAAUCUUCGCACAGCCAUGCGGAGACAGAUGCGUCGGCACGCCUCCCGCCGGGGGCCCUCCCGCCGCCGCCUCGGCCGCCUCUGGAACCGGCUCUUUCACCGGCCGCGGGUGCCCCGAGGCCAGAUCCCACUGCUGACCGCAGCACGCCCCUCACAGACCGUGCUGGGCGAUGGGUUCCUCCAGCCUGCUCCAGGGGCUGCCCCCGACCCCCCAGCACCGCUCAUGGACACAGGCAGCACCAGGGCGGCCGGAGACAGGCCCCCCAGUGCCCCCGGCCGUGCACCGGAGGUGGGACCUUCAGGGCCACCCUUGCCCUCGGGCCUGCGAGACCCAGAGUGCAGGCCCGUGGACAAGGACAGAAAGGUCCGCAGGGAGCCACUGGCAGACGGCCCAGCUCCUGCGGAUGCACCUCGGGAGCCCUGCUCAGCCCAGGACCCGCACCCCCAGGCCUCCACUGCCAGCAGCACCCUGGGCCCCCACUCGCCAGAGCCCCUGGGGGUCUGCAGGAACCCCCCGCCCCCCUGCUCCCCAAUGCUGGAGGCCAGCGAUGAUGAGGCCCUGUUGGUCUGUUGACCGCUGGGCUCGCUGGGGACCGCCACAGCCCCGCUUUGUAACCAGGGAAUACACAGUCAUUUCU
This 3279-nucleotide small RNA is filed under the name Pan troglodytes (chimpanzee). RNAcentral's name for it is "retained intron". The record is from RNAcentral. Lineage: Eukaryota; Metazoa; Chordata; Mammalia; Primates; Hominidae.